Molecule: ribosomal RNA, 238 nt
Filed under: uncultured bacterium
Lineage: Bacteria
Description: partial 16S ribosomal RNA
Rfam family: Bacterial small subunit ribosomal RNA
Source: RNAcentral
CGGCGGACGGGUGAGUAACGCGUGGGUAACCUACCUCAUACAGGGGGAUAACAGUUGGAAACGGCUGCUAAUACCGCAUAAGCGCACAGUACCGCAUGGUACCGUGUGAAAAACUCCGGUGGUAUGAGAUGGACCCGCGUCUGAUUAGCUAGUUGGUGGGGUAACGGCCUACCAAGGCGACGAUCAGUAGCCGACCUGAGAGGGCGACCGGCCACAUUGGGACUGAGACACGGCCCAA